GCCUACGGGGGGCAGCAGUGAGGAAUAUUGGUCAAUGGGCGAGAGCCUGAACCAGCCAAGUCGCGUGAAGGAAGAAGGUUCUAUGGAUUGUAAACUUCUUUUGCAUGGGAAUAAAGUGAGCUACGAGUAGUUUAUUGUAUGUACUGUGCGAAUAAGGAUCGGCUAACUCCGUGCCAGCAGCCGCGGUAAUACGGAGGAUCCGAGCGUUAUCCGGAUUUAUUGGGUUUAAAGGGUGCGUAGGCGGGAGAUUAAGUCAGCGGUGAAAGUUUGCAGCUUAACUGUAAAAUUGCCGUUGAAACUGAUUUUCUUGAGUGUAAAUAAGGUAGGCGGAAUGUGUUGUGUAGCGGUGAAAUGCAUAGAUAUAACACAGAACCCCGAUUGCGAAGGCAGCUUACCGGGCUACAACUGACGCUGAGGCACGAAAGCGUGGGGAUCAAACAGGAUUAGAUACCCCAGUAGUC
This 461-nucleotide ribosomal RNA is filed under the name uncultured Paludibacter sp. Its description in RNAcentral is "bacterial SSU rRNA". It matches the Rfam family "Bacterial small subunit ribosomal RNA", at positions 337 to 795 of the family's 1533-position model. Lineage: Bacteria; Pseudomonadati; Bacteroidota; Bacteroidia; Bacteroidales; Paludibacteraceae. The record is from RNAcentral.